Molecule: long non-coding RNA, 423 nt
Filed under: Salmo salar (Atlantic salmon)
Lineage: Eukaryota; Metazoa; Chordata; Actinopteri; Salmoniformes; Salmonidae
Description: lncRNA (ENSSSAG00000088961.1, ENSSSAG00020014701.1, ENSSSAG00075015137.1)
Source: RNAcentral
GCGCUAACUAGUAAGGUGGCUAGCAAUUAGCCAACGCCCCUGUCCCUUACCAACCAUGGCACUGUUUUACUCAAGGAGCUUGCAAGAGCUGCCAAAGAUAACAGUGACGGAUGUACAUCGUCUGGCCAAGACAAGUAGCAAAGCACCAAGGAUUCAAACAGUCUCCAGUUAUCUUUUCAACUAUGAAGGGUCUGCAACCUUGGGCCCAUAGGAAAAAUGACCAUCACCAAAAAGCGCAUGGCAGGAGGAGGGAUUAGGUGGUUUCAAGUACAUUGUCUAGAUUGGCUAACCACAGCAGCUGCUGUACACUACAGCGCCCUUGUUGAAACACUCCCUGACCUCUCAGUUCUCCAGAUAGAAGAGGCAUACAAGAGCUUUGACCCUCUAUCCAAGCCAUUGAUCUGCAGCAUGGGGAUGUCUGCU